This 413-nucleotide ribosomal RNA is filed under the name uncultured fungus. RNAcentral's name for it is "eukaryotic LSU rRNA". The record is from RNAcentral. Lineage: Eukaryota; Fungi.
AGAGUUAAAUAGUACGUGAAAUUGUUGAAAGGGAAACGUUUGACACCAGUUAUGUGGGUGGAAAAUCAGUCUUUGAUAGUGGGCUGUUGUAGUAUUUUGAGCGCAAGCCUGGAUGCUACUUCUAGUUUGUUAAAUGGGAUGCACUUUUUCAUUCACAGGUCAACAUCAGUUUUGCCUGCCGGAUAAAACUCUUGAAAAUGUGGCAGCUUUGGCUGUGUUAUAGUUCUUGAGCGAUACGGUGGGUAGGACUGAGGCUAUUUUUUUUUGCAGCAUGUGCUCUCGGGCAAGGUCAGAUGGGAUGCUAUGGUUUUUUGGAAGGCAUAGACCCUUGUGGUGCUGUGUCUUUCAUUGACUGUACUCGUUCUAUUCACGCUUCCAUGCUUAAGAUGUUGACUUAAUGGUUUUAAACGACC